Long non-coding RNA from Vidua chalybeata, 301 nucleotides. RefSeq lists it as uncharacterized. The transcript has 3 exons. The record is from RefSeq and is a predicted model, not a curated record. Lineage: Eukaryota; Metazoa; Chordata; Aves; Passeriformes; Viduidae.
GGCAAACCAAACUCCUGCACACAUGAUGCUUCAUCCCUAAAAACAUCAGCCACAAAAACAGCACCAAUGUUUUGAAAAAGCACCUGGAGAUUGUCCACUCAGCCAGCCCACAGCUGUUAAAAACAUUGCUGGUACAAAGAAAUACAUCAGUUUUAUCUCACCACAGAGCCUUAAGGCACAAGAGAUUUUUAAGCUCACAAGAAAAAAAAUGGAAGCAGUCAACAGAAGUGAGCUCUCAUCUGAGGUGAGGAAGUAUGCAAGGCUUUUCCAACUGUUAAAGACAAGGGCCAGUACAAAUUAG